Molecule: ribosomal RNA, 261 nt
Filed under: uncultured Staphylococcus sp.
Lineage: Bacteria; Bacillati; Bacillota; Bacilli; Caryophanales; Staphylococcaceae
Description: partial 16S ribosomal RNA
Rfam family: Bacterial small subunit ribosomal RNA
Source: RNAcentral
CGGACGGGUGAGUAACACGUGGAUAACCUACCUAUAAGACUGGGAUAACUUCGGAACCGGAGCUAAUACCGGAUAAUAUAUUGAACCGCAUGGUUCAAUAGUGAAAGACGGUUUUGCUGUCACUUAUAGAUGGAUCCGCGCCGCAUUAGCUAGUUGGUCAGGUAACGGCUUACCAAGGCAACGAUGCGUAGCCGACCUGAGAGGGUGAUCGGCCACACUGGAACUGAGACACGGUCCAGACUCCUACGGGAGGCAGCAGUU